This 385-nucleotide ribosomal RNA is filed under the name uncultured bacterium. RNAcentral describes it as "bacterial SSU rRNA". It matches the Rfam family "Bacterial small subunit ribosomal RNA", at positions 30 to 414 of the family's 1533-position model. The record is from RNAcentral.
AUUGAACGCUGGCGGCAUGCCUUACACAUGCAAGUCGAACGGCAGCACGGGAGCAAUCCUGGUGGCGAGUGGCGAACGGGUGAGUAAUAUAUCGGAACGUGCCCAGUCGUGGGGAUAACGUAGCGAAAGCUACGCUAAUACCGCAUACGAUCUAUGGAUGAAAGCGGGGGAUCGCAAGACCUCGCGCGAUUGGAGCGGCCGAUAUCAGAUUAGGUAGUUGGUGAGGUAAAGGCUCACCAAGCCGACGAUCUGUAGCUGGUCUGAGAGGACGACCAGCCACACUGGGACUGAGACACGGCCCAGACUCCUACGGGAGGCAGGCAGUGGGGAAUUUUGGACAAUGGGCGCAAGCCUGAUCCAGCAAUGCCGCGUGCCAGGAUGAAGG